This 253-nucleotide ribosomal RNA is filed under the name uncultured bacterium. RNAcentral's name for it is "partial 16S ribosomal RNA". It matches the Rfam family "Bacterial small subunit ribosomal RNA", at positions 524 to 776 of the family's 1533-position model. The record is from RNAcentral.
UACGUAGGGUCCGAGCGUUGUCCGGAAUUACUGGGCGUAAAGAGCUCGUAGGUGGUUUGUCGCGUCGUUCGUGAAAACUCACAGCUCAACUGUGGGCGUGCGGGCGAUACGGGCAGACUUGAGUACUGCAGGGGAGACUGGAAUUCCCGGUGUAGCGGUGAAAUGCGCAGAGAUCGGGAGGAACACCAAUGGCGAAAGCAGGUACCUGGACUAUUACUGACACUAAGCUGCGAAAGCUAGGGGAGCAAACAGG